This 461-nucleotide ribosomal RNA is filed under the name uncultured bacterium. RNAcentral describes it as "SSU rRNA". It matches the Rfam family "Bacterial small subunit ribosomal RNA", at positions 26 to 518 of the family's 1533-position model. The record is from RNAcentral.
AGAAUCAACGCUGGCGGCGUGCCUAACACAUGCAAGUCGAACGAGAAAGUGGGAGCAAUCCCAUGAGUAAAGUGGCGCACGGGUGAGUAACACGUGACUAACCUACCCUUGAGUGGGGGAUAACCUAGGGAAACCUGGGCUAAUACCGCAUAAUACCUACGGGUCAAAGGAGCAAUUCGCUUUAGGAGGGGGUCGCGGCAGAUUAGUUAGUUGGCGGGGUAAUGGCCCACCAAGACAGUGAUCUGUAUCCGGCCUGAGAGGGCGCACGGACACACUGGAACUGAAACACGGUCCAGACUCCUACGGGAGGCAGCAGUGGGGAAUUUUGCGCAAUGGGGGAAACCCUGACGCAGCAACGCCGCGUGGAGGAUGAAGCCCCUUGGGGCGUAAACUCCUUUCGAUCGGGAAGAUAAUGACGGUACCGGAAGAAGAAGCCCGGCUAACUUCGCGCCAGCAGCCGC